This 280-nucleotide ribosomal RNA is filed under the name Gyrophaena sp. 1 JCT-2008. Its description in RNAcentral is "partial 12S ribosomal RNA". The record is from RNAcentral. Lineage: Eukaryota; Metazoa; Arthropoda; Insecta; Coleoptera; Staphylinidae.
AGAGUCUUUAAAAUUAAAAAAUUUGGCGGUAUUUUAGUCUUUUCAGAGGAACCUGUUCUGUAAUUGAUAAUCCACGAUUAGAAUUACUUAUAUUCAAAAUUUGUAUAUCGUUGUAGUUGAAUAUUUUUUAAGAAUUUAAAUAUUCAUUAUAUUAAAUAAAAUAAAAAAUCAAAUCAAGGUGCAGUUUAUAUAUAAGAAGAGAUGGGUUACAGUAUUCCUAUGUGUGAAUUUUUAAUUUAAAAUUAAAAUGAAAAUGGAUUUGAAAGUAAUUUUAAAAUUU